AGUGAACGCUGGCGGUAGGCCUAACACAUGCAAGUCGAACGGCAGCACAGUAAGAGCUUGCUCUUACGGGUGGCGAGUAGCGGACGGGUGAGGAAUACAUCGGCAUCUACUUUUUCGUGGGGGAUAACGUAGGGCAACUUACGCUACUACCUCAUACGACCUACGGGUGAAAGCAGGGGAUCUUCGGACCUUUCGCGAUUAAAUUAGCCGAUGUCGGAUUCGCUAGUUGGCGGGGUAAAGGCCCACCAAGGCGACGGUCCGUAGCGGGUCUGAGAGGAUGAUCAGCCACACUGGAAGUGAGACACGGCCCAGACUCCUAGGGGAGGCAGCAGUGGGGAAUAUUGGACGAUGGGGGAAAGCCUGAUCCAGCAAUACCGCGUGGGUGAAGAAGGACUUCGGGUUGUAAAGCCAUUUUGUUGGGAAAGAAAAGCAGCAGGUUAAUACCCCGCUGUUCUGACGGUACCUAAAGAGUAAGCACCGGCUAACUUCGUG
This 492-nucleotide ribosomal RNA is filed under the name uncultured bacterium. Its description in RNAcentral is "partial 16S ribosomal RNA". It matches the Rfam family "Bacterial small subunit ribosomal RNA", at positions 29 to 507 of the family's 1533-position model. The record is from RNAcentral.